Molecule: unclassified non-coding RNA, 17848 nt
Filed under: Anthonomus grandis grandis
Lineage: Eukaryota; Metazoa; Arthropoda; Insecta; Coleoptera; Curculionidae
Description: golgin subfamily B member 1-like
Source: RNAcentral
AUCGCAAUGAAAGGCCUACUUCUCGAACAGAUAAAACUAGAGAUGACUCUGGAUUGACACCUAAUGAUGCUGAAAAGGCCAAAGGAGCAAAAUCCGGUGAUACAGUUAAACCUAGUGAAGGAAAAAGAAAAGGGGAUGAUGGCAGUGAAAGACCAACUUCUCAUCCAGAUAAGGCUAGAGCAGAUGACUCUGAAUUGACACCUAGAGGCCCUGAAAAGGCCAAAGAAGCAAAAGCUGGUGAUGCAGUUAAAUCUAGUGAAGGGAAAAGAAAGGAGGAUGAUGGCAGUGCAAGACCAAUUUCUCGAGCAGAUAAGGCUAAAGCAGAUGACUCUGGAUUGACGCCUAAAGGCGCUGAAAAAACCAAAGUAGCAAAAUCGGGUAAAGCAGUUAAACCUAGUGAAGGGAAAGGAAAGGCGGAUGAUGGCAGUGAUAGCCUAACUCCUCAAGCAGUUGAUGGUAAAAAAUAUUACGCCAGCUUAACAUCUAGUGAUAGUGAUAUAGCCAGAGGACUAAAAUCGGGUGAUGCAAGCAAGUCUAGUGAUGGAAGGGGAAAGGCAGAAGAUAAAAGUGAUAAGUCAUCUUCUCGAGCAGGGAAGACAAGAGCAGACUCUGGAUUGACACCCAGUGGUGCUGAAAAGGCCAAAGGAGCAAAAUCAGGUGAUACAGACAAACCAAGUGAUAGAAAAGGAAAGGCAACUGGUACAGCAGACGACUCCGGAAAAAAAUCCGGUGAUACAGGAAAACCAAGGGAAGGAAAAGGAAAGCCACCAGACAGCAGUGACAGGCCAACUUCUCGAACAGGUAAGAGUAGAGCAGAUGACUCUGAACUGAAAUCUAGUGACGCUGAAAAGGGCAGAGGAGUAAAACCUAGUGAAGCAGAGACAACUCGCAAACCAAUGUCUCGAGCAGGUACAGGUAGAGCAGACGACUCCGGGUUGACUCGCAGCGAAGAUGAAAAAACUAAAGGAGUAAAAUCUGGUGAUUCAAGUAAACCUAGUGACCUAAAAGGAAAAGAAACCGAUACUAGGCCAACUACUGGACUGACACCUAGCGAUUCUGAAAGAGGGAAGAGGCUAAAACCAGGGGAUGCACUAAAACCUGAUAAAGAAAAAGGAAAGGAAAUUGACAGUAGUAGUAAACCGACUACUCAAUUAGCUACAGGUAAAGCAGAAGACUCUGGAGAAGUUGAAAAAACUAAGGGAGCAAAAUCGGGUGAUGGCAGAAAAUCUGAUCAUGAAAAAGGAAAGUCAGUUGAUGAGAGAGCUGGCAAAGAUGACGACUUAAAAGCUAAGACACCUGGUGAAAAAAGUGAACAAUCUGGAGAUAAAGAUGCAAAAGUAAUAGCUCCUGUAAGAGGAAGGGGUAGAGGCCGAGUAGCAGAAUCAACAGCUAAGCCCGGUGAACCUGAUGAGUCAAAAGUCGACGACAAAAGAACGGAAAGCAUGCCAGCUGGUGAAAGAGAGCUAGCUAAAACCAAAGCCAAACCUGAUGCUGAAUACAAAUCUCGAAAAGAAGCUCAAGAACAAGCUAUUUAUGAUACAGAAGGUAAAGAAACUACGCCAAGAGUGAGAGGUAGAGGAAGAGGUAUUUCUACAGACUCAAAGUCCCUACUUGGAGAAGCUGGCGGAUCAAGAGGUGCCACACCUAGUGAGAAAGGAGAAAUCGUAAAACUCAAAGAUGAUGAAAUUAAAAAUAAGGGAGUGACAGAUAAGGAAGAUGGAAUAGGUGGUGGAAAACGAGGAACAGAAAAACCAUAUAAAUCCGGAAAAAUUGAUGAUACCAAAGUGAACGGUACUAGUGGCAAAGAAAAAGCAGAUAAAGAUAAAGCAGUUCGGGACAAAGAUCAAAGGGCACCGGGAGAUAAAAAGUCUGGAGAACCUGUUGUUAAGCUUGGUGAACAAUAUGAGAAAAGUCAAACAGCUUUAUCAGAUAGAGAAAAAGAUAGUAGGAAGCCUGAAAUAGAAAGAGAGAUAAAACCAAGUGAAAAAAGAAAAGAAGCAGAGGAACCAAAAGUACAUCCCGUACUAGAUAAGACGAUGGAUGCAGAUAAAAGAACAGGACAAGAUGUUUUGGGUAAAAAAUCAGAUCAAAAGGAGCCAAUUGUAAAAAAAAUCCCCAAAGAGAGUGAUGUUGAAGUUCAGCCCCUACGUCGACAAGAAGAUGAUUCGAAAUUAAAAGGCAAAGACCAGGCUGUUGGCGAUAAGCGUCAAGAAGGUGGCCUUGACUCAGUUCGACCAGCUACAAGUCGUGGAAGAGGUAGAGGCCGAGUGUCUGAAUCAAAAACUAAACCUGGAGAAGCAGAUAGCCGAGUAUCAGACAUUUCUCCAGAUGCAAAAUCAAAAGAAGAGGAUGUCAAAAGCGAAUGUGGGUCAAUCUGCAAAAGCAUUUCAGAGGAUAUAGAACCUCCUGAAACUCAACCACGUAAAGUAGACAGAUUAGAGGAAGUAACUACGAAAAAGACACCUGAAGGUAGAGAAUCUCUUGACCAAAAAGGAACUGAAAGAAAAGAAGAAGGUACAGUUCCUGAGGGCAAAGAAAAAUAUAUAGAAAAGAUUGUCCCUAAAGAUAAAGCUAUGAAAGAUAAAAUCUCUGCGGAAGAUAAAGGCAAGGAAAGAUUGCAAAAACCAGCAAAAACGGAAGAUGAAAAAAGUAAAAAGAUGAUACAAGAUAAGGUUGAUGCUAUAUCUUUUGGAAAAAAAUUGCCUGAAGAACAAACAAUUUCAGAUACGGAAAAGGAUAAAGAUCAAGAAAAAAUCAAAUUUGACGCACACGGAAAGAAACCUAUGCAGAGUCCCACUCAAAAAACCGAUGGUGAAAGCGAAGAAUAUAUACCCACAGAAGAGAAGCUAGAUAAGCAGAAAGAACAGCUUAAAGAAGAAGGUCUAAGCCCAGAAGAAGUAGCGUUGGAACCUAAAGAGCGUCAUAAGACUAAAAAAACCAUCCCAGACAGAAUUAAGCAGUUAAGAGAAAAGUUAGCACAUGAUAAAAGUAAAAGAUUAUCUUCAAAAGACCUGGAGGAAUUAAGCCCUGAUGAACUUCAAGAACUUGAAAAAGAGUUAGGACCCACAGAGUUUAAGAAGUUAACUAAGAAAUAUAAAGAAACAAUUCCAGAAAAAAUUAAGGAGUUAAAAAAAAAAUUAACUCCCGAAAAGGCAAAAAAGCUAACUCCUGAGCAACUUGAACAAUUAAGUCCUGAAGAAUUAGAACUGUUGGAGAAGGAACUCGCUUCUGAAGAAGAAUUACCAUUAGCAACUCCAGAAAAAGUCAAAGUAUUAACUCCUAGUGAAAUUAAAAAAUUGACUGAAGAUUUAGGCCUUGAAGAAGCUAAAAAGCUCAUGCCUGAGGAUGAAUCUGAAAAGUUAGAUAGAGAGCAAUUAAAGAAAUUUGCAAAAAAAUUAGGUAGUAAAGAUUAUGAAAAAUCAGAAAAAAGUAGAGAGAAGGAAUUGAGUCUUAAAGAAAGCAAGAUACUAGCUCCCAAAGAAGAAGCAAUAGAGCCUGAAGAACUUGCAAAAUUAAGUCCGGAACAAUUAAAAGAUUUGCAAAAGAAACAAGCCCUUGAAGAGAGUAAAAAACUUUCUCCUGAAGAAUUGACACCUGAAAAGCAAAAAAUAUCAGAACCAGGAUUAGGUCUAGAAAAAGAAAAGAAAUUAGUAUCUAAAGAUCUUGAAAAGUUAAGCUUAGAAGAGCUAAGAGAUUUAAAAAAAGAGCUAUUCCCCGAAAAAGAAGCACUAUCUGCUGAGGAUUUGAAAAGGUUAACUCCUGAAAAGCUAGAGCAGUUACAGAAACAGAAAGAACUUGAGUUGGCUGAAGGACCCUCAAAACUUGAACCGAUAGGCCCUGAUAAACUCAAAAUUAUAACGCCCCAAGAAUUAGAAGAAUUAGCUGAACAACAAGGCCAAGAAUUAGGUAAAAAACUUAGUGAGGACCUAGGAAAGUUAAGUACACAAGGGUUAAAAAAGUUACCAGAAGAGUUAAGUCGUGACGAGGAAGACAAGCUUAAAGAAUUAAGCCCGGAACAACUUAAAGAUUUAGAAAUAAAAUUUGACCUAACGGAGGGAGAACUAACUGAUGUAGGUCUUAGAAAAUUAACUCCCGAGCAGCUUAAAGAAAUAGAGAGAGAAUUAGGACCUAAAAGAGAAAAAGUACUUCCCGAUACAUUUGCCAAGAUAUCUCCGGAAGAGCUUGAUAAGUUAAACUCUGAAGAGCUUAAAGAAAUGCUUAGAAAAGUAAGACCAAACAUAGAUAAGACUGAACAACUAGAAGAAUUAACCCCCGAGGAAAUAAAAAGAUUGCUUACUGAAAAGGCUCGCGAGGAGGAAGAACCAAGAGAACGCUCUUUAACUCCUAGUGAUAUAGAACGUCAAAGAUUAUUUGCAGAUAGAGGUGAGAUAUACAUAACACCUGAAGGCUUUAAAAGUGCCCCUUCUAGGAGAACAAAAGAACCACCUUGUAACUUAGAAUGCAUACAUCCAGAAAGGCGUAAGCAUUCGCCCAAGGCUUUUAUAAGUGAAGAUAAAUUAGCAAUACCUGGACCGUCCACACUAUACCCUAAGACAGAAGACACGCAACCUGCAGUAAAAGUUUGUAAAGCAAGGUGUAAUUUACCAAAAAGUCCCGAAAAACUGUCCUCCCAGGCUUCGUUGAUAGACGACACUCUUGAUUUAAGUAUAGAACACAGUGAACGCGAAAUCUAUAAACUAGUUAAAGAAGGAAAACCAGAAUCUGAUGAAGCAACAGAUACUUCUUUAAGUCAGCCUCUUACACCUCACAAAAGUCUUCUUGGUAAUGACACUCAAGAUGAAGCAUUUUUCUCAGCGCGAUCAAAAGACGAUGCUACCGAAACAAGAAGGGCUUAUCAUAAGUGUAUGGCUCCUUGUAGAAAUGCACGAGACCGACCUUCUUUAUUUGGGGAAGAAACUGGAGGAGUUAUUACAGGAACGGAUCAUGAAACUUCUCAAGAUUUAAUACCAACAGGAUAUUAUAUGCCACAAGAUAUUUCACCUCGGGAAUCCAUGCCUAAAUGGUUAAAAGAUGUACCAGAUAAAACUGAUGAUACUCUAUCAGAAACAAAAAUACCUAGUAUAACAGAAACAGAGGCAGCAAAAGCAAGUCGUCUAUUAGAAGAAGCCGGUGCGAGUGAAAGAAAAAAGAAACCAAAGCUGGUUUUAGAAUGGACCACUGAUUCGGAAAAAAGUAUAGAAAAACUAGAAAUUCCAGAAAAUAUUAAAGGGUCUAACGUUAUUUCAAAAGUAUUAUCUGGGCAAGUAGUCGGACUUCCACCAUCCAUUCCAAUAUUGGAACAGUCAACACCGAAAAAUCUUGCAAAAGCAUUAUAUCAAUGUAAAGCGAAAUGUGCCACAGGUGGCAAUGUAGCUGACGCGAUAAACAUUGAAACUGCUGAAGAUAUUAGUGAUAUUAAUACAGAUUCUGAAAUUCAAGAAGAAGCUAUCGAACCUACUUUACAAACUGGUACGAUUUAUAGUCCGAUACCUGACGAAACUGCUAUAGAACAGGAAGGUGAUGAUACAUUGGUUAACCAGAAUUUGUCAGAGCAAAUAGAUACCCAAAAUAUAAUGUCACGUGAAAACAAAAGUAACACAGCUACUGAAGACGAGUUUCUCGAUGCAGAGCAAGAUCAAAAUAAAACAAUUGAAACAGAAAUUAUUUCGGAACAGGAAGAGACAAUACCUUUUGAGUUACUAAAAGUUGAGGAUGCCGUAUCAAACAAAGUAUAUUCACAACCACCAACUGCUGAUAAAAAAAUAGACUCAUCUGAAAAGGUAAGUAACGUGGAUUCUGACCAAUUAGAGUCUACUGAGGGUCCAACAGAAGAAUUUAAAGAUGCAGAAGAUGAUGAGAGAAUGUCAAAGUCAAGACCUAGGAAGUCCAUAAAUUUCACUGAUGAUCAGUUUAUAGAAAUAGCAUCCGAAAAAUUAGAUGAACAAGAAUCUGUGUCGUUGGAAGACUGGUCAACACCGAAAGUGGAAUUUGUCGAUACUGAAGCUAUUCCAAAAGAGGUUGUUCAAGAAAAUACUGCACAAGAUCUAAGUCCCUCAAUUGCAACACGUACGGUUACAAUAAGUAAAGAGAAUCUUGGAAACUAUGCGGAGGCUCUUGAAAAAAUGCCUACAGUUGAAAAGUCCAGCGGUCCCGCCAGAUUUGCUAGUUGGUUCAAAUCUGAUGAACCGGAAGAAGAUCAAGCCUCUAAAAAACCGCAAAAACUUCAGACAACUCUACCGAAGAAGUCGAGCAACCUAGUCAACUGGUUUAGGAAAAAACCAGCAGAAAGAAAGAUGUCUAGCGUUCCAACGAGCACCCACGAUCUAAACGAAGAAUACAACUACUCACCUGAAUUAACCACUCCGUAUUAUGAGUAUGAUAAUUCUUUUGUCUGUAAGUCCAUUUGCAGAAAGCACUACGAAAGUGGUAAAUCAACACCUUGUUUGCACCAACGCGAAUAUGAUCCGAAUAGACAAAGUUCGUCAAAACAAGCUGACACAAACAUUUAUGUUAAUGACUUAAGACCAAGGUCUGCUCAGUCUUCUUCUGAAUCAAGAGGAGCUAGACCAAGACCCUGCCGAGCUGCCUGUUCAACCGGUCCUAAGCUUGACAAUGCUACGUCGCCUGCCGGAUUAGAAGCAUCGGUAACAACUGAGCCUCAAUACAGAGAUACUCAACAACAUACUUCAAUGUUAACUGAUAACACCUUUGAGUUGGAAGAGUUGCUACAACGGAUGUUCGAGGAACCCCCUAAAUUUUCAUGCCGUGCUAGUUGUAGUACUGGACCAAUAUCUAAAGAACAGUUAAUGCAAAUAUUGGAAAACGAUUUAGCUGCCAAAGAUGCUUACUGCGCAGAACAGAGAAAAAUUGCAGCGGCUGCGCUAGAACAACUUAAUAAUAUCAAGCAUAUUGUAGAGGAACGAGAUGAUCUCAGAAAAAAAUUGCAAAAUUCCCAGUCUGAAUUGGCUGAACUAAAGAAAAAUUUAGAACAUGGAUUCGGAGAUGCAGAUCUUAGACUGGAUUCGAAAAACUCUGAGCAUUAUGUCCCCUUCCAAGACUCCAAUCAACCAACGAAAAGCACUGAUGAGGAAAUCAAAUCCCUUGAACAAGAGAUUUCCCAAAUGCGUAGUUCCCAGCAGGCUCCGCAACAAGAAACGGUUAUUAUUAAAAAGGAGGUCGAAGUUCUCAAGCGGUAUUGCUCAAAAUUAUCUCUGAUACAAGAUGAAAACCAGAAACUAAGGACGGAAAAUGAGGAACUUGAAAAACAACGUCUGGAAUAUGAAAAAAAGAUUAAAAGUCUAGGUUGUGAUGGCUCCGAAUCUCAAUUGAAUGAACUGAAAGAAAAGAUAUCGCAGUACGAACAAGCUACUGCAGAACGAGAUGUUCUUCAAAACAGAGUUAAAACUUUAGAAAGAGAACUGAAUUCUUACCAGGAUCUUCCGCACGAGGUUGAAGUAUUUAAAAGACGUUCCAUUUUAUUGGAUGAUGUUUUGAAAGAUCGUGAUCGUUUGGCUAAACGUGUUGAGCAAAUGAGAGGCAUGGACGAAGAGCUUAUGAUGUUAAAACAAAAGGCUGAUAGGGUGGAUGAUUUAGAACGUCAGCUACGCCUGGCAAUUAAAGAUACUCAAGCUGCAGAGGAUGAACUAGACACCAUGCGAAAUAAAUGUGCUAUAGCCGAGAUCGAUAUGAUAAAACAAAAAUCGGAAGCCGAUACCUUACAGUCUCGACUAUGCUGUAUGGAACACGAAGUGGAAACUCUUAAGUCUAUGUGUAAGGAGCUAGAGAUUAUACAAAUUGAAAAGGAAAGGUUGCAAGCAAGUCUGGAUGAACUGGUUCGUAUGCAAGACGAUUAUGAUCAUAUGUGUGUUCAGAUGAAAGCUCUAGAUGUAGUUAAAGCUGAAAGGGAUCGAUACAAGAGGAAAUACGAAGACCUAGUGGGUGUUGAAGAGGAAUGCAAUUUGCUAAAAGAGCAACUAAUGAAAGUAAAAAAUAUAGCCAAAGAAAGAGAUAUUUUGCAGAAGCAAUCAUACGACUUAGAAAAAUGUAUUUGUGAGCAAGAAGACGAAAUCAAACGACUAGUGACACAUAUUGAUUGUUUGGCUCAAGGCAAAGAGGAUCAGCAAAAUAAGCUUAAAGAAGUCGUUUCAGGUCUACAGCUAGAGCUUGAGAAGAAAGAGAGUCUCUUAGUAAUGUCAGAAGAAAAAAUGGCCAACAUGCAUGGAAAGAUCGACACAUCGCUCCACAGCCUCUCUGAAGAAACCGCCAUGUUGAGAAAAGAAAAAAUUAUACUUGAAGACAAAAUUGGAAAUUUAGUUAAAGAAAAUCAAAAAUUAGAAAAAUCGAACAAGAUGAAAGAUAUCGAAACUGCUGAGCUAAAGCAAUUAAUUGAUAAAAAAGAAGCAGAAAAUAAUAAAUUACAGAAAAAAUUAAAAGACAAAAACCGAAUAAUAGAGACAAUGCAAGAAGUUUUAGAUGAUCGAGAAUUGACCCCAUUACACAGUACACUAGAAUCGCAUAGUAACUUGGCCAAUGCGCAAGAGAUAUCCAGACUUCAAAAUGAGCUAGCAAGUGCCAAAGCCGAUAACCAAAAACUACAAAUGUUAGCAGCAUCACAAGCAGGUUCUAGUAGCACAGGAAUUAAUAAUCAGGUGAAAGAUAUGCUGGAACAAUCAAAAACUGCUAUUCAGCGUAUCAGCUUGGAACUAGAGAACCAGUAUGCCGAAUGGGACUCUGCUAAGAAGAAGUUCCGAUGUUGUCCAGGGUGUAAUUGUAAGCGGAAAACACAGCAGCCAGAGCCUAGAGUCAUUAUCAGGUGCUGCCCGGGUUGCAAUUGUAAAAAAAGACGAGGAGCAACUCAAAAAGAUGAUCGACCUUCAUGUCUUUGUCCUUCAAGGAAAACAAAAAGCGCAAACUCUUCUCCUAGGCCAUGUGUUUGUAGACAUGCAGGGCAACAAACCGAAGAAGAGUUUAAAAAGCCAAGCGUACACUGUACAUGUAAUAGAAAAAUAUAUUCUAAGCAAGCCGAGGCUUCUAGUAUAUCCAGCAAGGAUUCAACUGAUGAAGACUCACAACAAACAGAUAUUGAUCAGGGAGAAUCUUUGGAAGUUCCAAGAACUAGCGAAAGUACCAAAUCCAGAAAACGAAUUACCAAAAAAGUUGCACCUACAAUUGAAGAAUACAAGCAGGGCCAGUCUUCUAAGGCAAAAGAACCCGUACAAACUAAAUCAACGCAAAUGUCUGAACAGGAAACUAUCGAUAAAAAUACAAGCCAGCAGCCUAAGCCAACUAUAAAUCAAAUAAUUGGUAAAGAUUCUAAGCAAGCGGAGCCUUCUCAAUUACCACAAACAUAUGAAUACCCCAAACAAGGCGAAAUACAUAAAAUAACAGCCACUAAUGAAUCUUCUAGGAACUCCAAAUCGGUAGAAAAUCCGGAAUGGAGAAAUCUCAAUUUACCAGUAGGUACUGAUGAAGAGGAAGAUCCAAUGUACACUGCAAGAUCUACGGAAGAAAGUAGACAGAAAAUAUUAGAGUUAGAGAAAGAGUUACAGAAAGCCAACGAAAAAAUAAUUCAUCUAAAAGACCAAAUUGCAGGUAUUGAAAGGGUAUCAGAUGAAAAUGUGGCUUUAAGGAAACAUUCCUCAGAAGUGCAGCAAAUUGCUAAAGAUCAAAUACAAGAUAUGGCGAAUCGCGUAAAAAGUCUGAAUGACGAUAUUACAAAGUAUCAAAAUGAAAACAAAAAACUUCAUACUGAAUUGAUCGAAGCGAAAAAACUUUUAAAAGAUACUGGUCAUGGUUCUAUUAAAGAGGAUGAAAAGAAACACGUGAAACUAGGCCAAACCUCGGAGAUUAGGUUCUCUACUGGCCCAGACGACCUCAUUAUGGACUUGAAUGAAGCAAAAAGAAAAAUCAAAGAUCUAGAAGCAAAACUUUGCAAACAAAAAUAUGAUUUAGCAACGGCAAAAAAGAAGCUUAAAAGCACAGGGGUAGGUAAAGAAAUCACCCAUGAUGGGGGAGUGCAACAUUUCGAACCAGAUAACGCUGGACUGAUGGCCCCAGGACAAAAGGGAUCCUCGUUACAUACUAGCUCAUCAUCUGAAGAACCCAUGUUGGAAGUUUAUAAUGACGAAUUUGCUCAAAGACUAACACAGUGCAUUGAAGAAAAAAAAAAGCUCCAACAACUGGUAGAAAAUUUAAAACAAGAGUUAGGAAAAGCUGGAAAAGGAGAAAAUAUCCUUGACUUAGGCGAGCAAGUACAACUUAAAACCGAUUUAGUACAGUGCUUACAGGACAAAGAAAAACUCUUAGCAGAAAUUGAGAAACUAAAAAAGGCGCAAGAAAAAUCAGAUUAUAAUGGCUCAGAUGCAGAGUAUGUUAGAAGGCUAAAAUCAGACUUAGAAUCGUGUUUAAAGGAACGUGAAAACUUCCAAAAAAUAAUCAAAAAGUUGCAAGAUCAGCAUUCUGAUAAAGUAAUGGAGCUUCCCGAUAUGGCUGCAUUUACAAAUCUAAAAUCUGAUCUAAGCCAUUGCUUAGAAGAAAAAGAAAAACUUUUAAAAAUAAUUAAGCAAUUGGAAAAUCAACUUUCUGAAGGUACAGGAGGGCAUCCUGAUAUGGCAGCAUUUACAAAGCUGCAAGUUGAUCUAAACCAAUGCUUAGAGGAGAAAGAAAAUCUCUUAAAAAAAGUUAAGGACCUUAAUAGCUGUCUCAAUGAAAAAGAAAAUUUGCUAAAGUUAGUUAAAGACCUACAACAGCAACUUGCAACUGGAGAUGCUGACCUACCCGAUAUGAGAGAGUUUGCAAAAUUAAAAGCUAACUUAACUACAUGCUUGGAAGAAAAGGAGUUACUUUUUCACAAACUAGCGAAGCUUGAAAAGAGAAUGUGUAUGGAAAAUUCAAAGAUUAAAUCCGAUUUAGCAGAAUGUUUAAAAGAUAAGGAAGAUCUUCUUAAGGAAAUUGAAAGGCUUAAAAAGUUGGUGGAGCAUUUGCAGAGCAAACUUCCUUCAGAAUAUAAAACUCAGGACUUAGCUACUUCACAAGAAAAAGAACAGUUCGACAAUAUGCUUAAGGAUAAUGUUGGGAUAACGUCUCGUAGAAGUUCAAAGUUAGAAGGAGAAAUUGAAUCUCUCAAAAAACCUUUACCCGAAAAAGAGCAACUCGAUCAAGCCAAUAAGGAACUCCAAAACCAAAUAAUGGAUCUACUUAAUAAAAUAGCUGCUUUACAAAGUGACAAUGAGAAAUUAAAAGCAGAACUCUCAAAAAAUAAAAAUGACGUACUACAACUGGAACAGGGAACAGACAAGAUAGAUACUUUACAAGAAGAAGAAAAACCAGAUAUUUCUAAAAUCAAAGCAGAGUUGGAAAAAUGUCUUAAGGAUAAACAAGAUCUUUUAAAUACAAUAGAAAGCUUAAAGAAUCAGCUGAAAGCAGUAUCCCUAACAGAAUCGAAAGAUGGCCAAGAAAAUGCCGAUUUAAGACCGCAACUAGAAAAUUAUAUCCGAGAGAAGAACGAUUUACUUAAAACUAUCGAUGACUUAAAAAAACAGCUUGCAGAAAAGUCUGAUUGGGUGCCCAAAGAAGCGCUCGAUUCUCUUCAGAAUAAGCUAGAACACGCCACCAAGGAUAAAGAUUCAAUCGCGCAAACGCUUAAAGAAGUUACGCUACCUACUGAUAAGAUGACUCAACUUUCUGAAAUGGAUAAUCUGAGGGAUAGAAUUACCGCACUUUUAAAAGAUAAUGAUGCUCUUCAAAAGCUUGUCGAUGAGUUAAAGAUGAACAAUAAAAAACUGGCAAAGGAAAACGAUGAUUUAGACAAAAUGCUUACGAGUAAUGUUGUGACAACGUCUCGUAGAAGUUCAAAGUUGGAGGGCGAAAUUGACUCCCUAAAGAAACUUUUACCCGAAAAAGAGAAACUCGAUCAAGCCAAUAAGGAACUACAAAAACAAAUAAAGGAUCUACUUGAUAAAAUUGCUGCUUUACAAAGCGAUAAUGAUAAAUUAAAAGCAGAACUUUCAAAAAAUAAAAAUGACCUACUAAAACUAGAACAGGAAAAAGACAAGAUUAAGGCCGCUUCUGCAGAUCCAUCGCUCCUAGAUAGUUUACUUAAAGAAAAUGACAGCCUUAAAAAACAACUAGAGCAGCAGAAAAAAGAAAUAGAUGCUCUUAAUGAAAAAUUAAAGCAGCAGGUUGUCCCUCUGGAUAAGACGGCGUUCGAUAAAGAGAAAAAAGAUAAAGAUGCCUUGCAGUCGACCAUAAAUGAUCUUGAAAAUCAGCUGAAAAACUUAAUGGCCAAGGAGCGAGUUAAAACACCUGAACCAAGUGAUGAUUUGUCUGCGAAAAUAGAAGCUUUAUUAAAGAAACUAGAAGACGCUCAAAAACGUGCAGAUUCAGCUGAAGAAGCUCUGAAGAGGCUUAAAGCAAGUGACCCAACUGUCAUGUUAAAUGCAGAGUUGCAAAAGCUUAAAGACAAAAUCGCUUAUUUAGAAAAACAGGCCGCUGAUUUGCAAGAAGCGCUGCAACAGGCGAAUGGUGAGAAAAUGAAUUUGAAAAAAGAUUUAGAUAAUGCCAAUAGUGCAGCCAAAAAGGCCAAAGAAGAAAACGAGGCUCUAUUAAAAUCAAUUGAAGGCCUAAAAGCUGAUAAGCAACAGUUAAAUGAUGAUAUCAAAAAAAUGGGGGAUAAAACACCAAUCAGCCCUGCAUCAGGUGAUGAGAAUUUAAAAAUAAAGCAGCAGCUUAAUGGGUUACAAGACGAAAAUAAUACUUUAAAGAAAGAUCUGGAUCAACUAAAGGGAGAAAAUAAAAGAAACGCUGAUAAGUUAAAUGACGCUUUAGAUGAAAAUGGAAAUUUAAAGAAAAUGUUAGCUCAAGCAGAGAAUGAAAAAAUUAAAGCGCAAAAAGAUUUAGCCGCAGCUUUAUCAGAUGCGAAAAGAGCAGGUGAUAAGCUCCUUGAGUUAGAAAAAGAAAAUGCCAAAUGUAAACAAAGUGUUAAAGACCUUGAAAACGAAAUUUCAAGAUUAAAAAAAGAAAUGGAUAGUUUAUUAGACGAAGCUAAAAAAGCUGCAAAAAUAAUAGCCGACUUACAAGCUGAAAUUGGUGACUUAAAGCAAAAGGUGGCCAAACUCGAAUCCAUAAAUUCUAAAUUGGAUGAUGAAAAUAGUAAAGUUAAGAAAGAAUUGGAACAGGCCCGAGGGGGAUCUCACGCUAUCGCUAGUCUUCAGGAUGAUAAUAACAAAUUGCAACAACAAAACGCUAGUCAGCAAACAGAAAUUGACAAACUUAAAAAGAAGUUAGAAGAUGCUUUAGCAGAUGCAAAAGCUAAGAUUGCUAUAGCCACAAAACUUCAGGAUGAAUUAGACGCCUUAAAGAAAAAAAUGCAGCAGUUAGAUAAUGAAAACACUGAGUUAAAGAAAAAACUACCUGUUCCUGGAACUGAGAACAAGAUCGACGAUUUACAAAAUAAAUACGAUGCUCUCAGGCAAAAGUUAGCGGAAGUCGAGAAUGAAAAUCAGAAAUUAAAAAAAGAUUUGCAACAAGCGCUCGACAAUGCUAAAAAACUAAAUGAUGACAUUAAUGCUCUAAAGCAAUCUGAAAAGAAAUGUAAAGAUAAAAUAACACAAUUAGAGAAUGAAAAUGAAGGGUUAAGAAAUAAAUUAAACGCUACAUUAGAUGACAUGAAAAAAAUGGGCACUGAAGUGAGCGGCAUUCAGGGAGAUGAGUCAAAAUCAAAGCAAAAAGCAGCAAUAUUAGACGGAGAAAACGCAAAACUCAAAAAAGACCUUGACGCAGCAUUAAACAACGGGAAAAACUUGGCGGAUGAAAACUCAAAACUGAAAGAUGAAAAUGUGAAACUUAAGCAGCGAAUAGCCCAGCUAGAAGGUGAAAACGCUAAGCUAAAAGCUGAUCUUGAUUCAGCGCUCAAAAAUUUAAAAAAAUCCAUGGAAGAAUUAAAAGAUAAACAAGAUGAAAACAAUAAGCUUCAGAACAAGACAAAACAAAUGGAAAAAGAAAGCGAACAGUUCAAACAGAAGCUAGAAAACGUUAUAAAAGAUAGUCCCAAGCCUAUCGCCAGUGAAGAUAAAAGUUCUCAACUUGAAAACGAACUAGCUAGAAUCAAAAAGGAGCUUGAAAAUGCCAACAAAGAAGCCAAAGAAAAUGCUCAAGGUCGCACUCAGCUACAAAAUGAAAACAAUCAAUUACUGCAAAAAAUAAAGCAGCUAGAAGCUGAGAAUAAUAAACUCAAAGCAGACCUAGAAGCUGCCUUAAAGAAAUCUAAAGCCACAGAAAGUGAACUAGCACAACUAAAAGAUGACCAAUCCAAGUUAAAAGACAAGUUAUCAGAGCUACAAUCUAAUAAUGACAAGCUCCAAAAGGAGAAGGCAGCUUUAACUGAUGAUGCCAAGAAAGCUGCGACAGACUUGGCAAAACUCUCAGAAGUAAAGGAAAAUGAAAAUAAAUUAAAGCAAAGAAUUGCACAGCUAGAAGCUGAAAAUGCAAAAUUAAAAAAAGAUUUGGAUGCUGCUCUUGCAGAAGCUAAAAAGGCAAUUACUGAUUUAUCGAAAGCCAAUGACGGCAAUGAUAAAUUACGGCAGCAACUUUUAAAAGCCGAAAAUGAAAACAAAAAAUUAAAGUCUGAUUUGGACGCAGCGGUAAUGGGAGCAAAAAAAGAUUCUCUUGGCAUAAGUGACCUUAAAGAAGUCGAUGAUAAAUUAAAACAAAGAAUAGCCCAGUUAGAAGCUGAAAAUAACAAGCUUAAAGACGAACUUGACAAAGCCAUGGAAGGCACGAAAAAAUCGCUCAAUGAUUUCGCCAAGCUUCAAGAUGAUGAAAACAAAUUGAAACAAAAACUUGCACUGCUGGAGGCUGAAAAUGGCAAACUUAAAAAAGACUUAAGUAGAAGCCAAAGUGAUGCCAAAACAGAAGGGGAUAAUACCGAAAGUUUGAAAAAUGAACUUGCAAAAUGUAAAAAACGAGUGGUAGACCUAGAAAAUGAUAUCGCAAAUCUUAAAAAACAACUGGACGGUGCUUUAAAUGAUGCUAAAAAUAAAGCGAACGAAUUAUCAAAAGCUCAAGAUGAAAUUAAUAAUUUAAAACAUAAGCUUGCACAAGCAGAAAAAGAUCACGAACGAGCAAAAAUAGACCUUGAUACUGCUGCUAAGGAUACUAAAGCUGGAUCUGACAAAGAAAAGAAACUUUCAGAUGAGAACGCCGAACAAAAGAAAAACAUAUCAAACCUUGAAAAUGAACUAGCAGACAUGAAGAAACAAUUGGAAGCAGCCAAAAGAGGAGCUACUGCAGCCGUAGUUAAGCCGAUAGAUUUGAAUGAAAGUGAAAAGAAGCUUGGAAAUGUUCAAAACGAAAACGCUAAGUUAAAAAAUGAUCUAGAAACAGCUUUGCAAGACGCCAAAAAGGCCAUUGACUUGCAAGAUGAAAAUGAUAAACUGAAACAAAAAAUUUCAAAGUUAGAAGCAGAUAUUGACAAGUUGAAAAGUGAUUUGGCUAGCACCAAAAAAAGUGCAAGUAAAGCUAAAAUUGAUUUAGGAAGGAUGAAAGACAAGGAGGUCCAAUUAAAACAAAGAAUCGCUCAACUUGAAAAUGAAAAAUUAACAUUACAAAAACAGCUGGAUGAGGCUAAGGCUGCAGGAGCAAAUGCUAAUUCUUUGAAAGAUGAAAACAAAAAAUUGUUAGAUCAAAUUAAUAAACUACAAGAGCAACUGGAUAAAGCACAACCUGCGGUCGCCCGAGUCGAAAGUAAGCAAAUAAUUAAACCCACAGAUGAUAUUAAUAAUUUAAAAGAUGAGAUUGCAAAACUUAAGGAAAAGCUUGCUAAUUUACAAGGAGAAAAUGUAAAACUCAAGCAGCAAAAUGAUCAGGCAUCGUCAGCAAGACGAUCUUCCGAAAAGCAAUCAAACGAUGCCAAAAAUGAAAACGACAAACUAAAAGAGGCCAAUAAAAAACUCUCUGCAGAAAAAGAUAAUUUAAAGAAACAGCUUCAAGAUGCCCAAACUCAAAGCCAAAACCUAACAGACGAAAACCAGAGACUCAAAAAAACGAUUGAACAACUGCAACAGGAACUAGCAAAUCUUCGAAAUGAUUUAAGUAAUGCGGCAAAUGAGUUAGCUAAAGCAAAAACCGAAAACGGUAAAUUGAAAACUGAAAAUGAUCGGGCGCUACAGGAAUUAAAGAGUAAUAAGGAUGCUCUUAACAAUGCUUUGCAAAAAUUACAAGACGCAUCUGCCGAAAAACCAACAGGCGAAAAUUUAGAUGAUUACAAAAACCGAAUAAGCUCACUAGAAGCUCAGCUUGCAAAACAAAAGAAAGAAUGCGACGACACCAUAGCAAACCUCAAAGCACAAUUUGAUAAAGAAAAGAAAAAUCUUUUGAGUAAGAACGAUGAGGAUCUAAGUAAGCUCCAAAAAGCUCAGGAUGACUACAUUAAGAGUUUAAAUGACCAACAUAACAAGGAAAUUAAGGAUUUAAUGAACAUGAUGGAUAAGCUGCGCCAAGAACUGGAAGCGGCUAUUCGAGAAAGGGAUAGACUUAAAGGACUUAUAGAUGACCAAAGAAAAAAGAGCAUCGAAAUCAAAGGCAAAGUUGAAGAAGUGGAAAAAGUUAUUUCUAAAGAAAGGCGACGCAGUAAAGAACUUGAGCAGAAACACAGUGACCUGAAAUCGAUAACUUCUCUGCUGCAGCAAGAAUUACAGAAAGAAAGAAGAAAAUCAUCGCAGCUACAAAAAGAAAGGGAUGACUUGGGCGAUAAGUUAAAAUCAACCAUAAAUAAAAAGAACGACCUGGAAAAUGAAGUAGGAAACCUUGAGAUGGAAAAAGAAUCAUUGGAAAAGGAGAAACAUGAGCAAACUAGUAAGAUGGCAAAAGAUAGCGCUAUUUUCCAGAAAGAAAUCGAAAGGGAAAGAAAGAAAAGUAAAGAGCUAGAAGCAGAAUUGAAGUCUUUGGAAAAGAAAUCAACAAAGGACAGGAAGAAAAAGGAUGAUAAGCUGACGAUGGCCACAUUUGAAACCUUGACCCUAGCACCAACAGUACUGGCUAUAUCACCGCCUCUUUCAGACCAUGAGUUGGCGUUUUAUGCCAAGAAAGUAUGUCCAUGUGUCAAGAACUUGGAUGAUUUAUUAAGAACUGCUGCUAGAAAAGGGUUUGAUGUAUUAACAAUAGAGGAGUUGCAGUUUAUCCAUAAGCACUUAACUGAUGCGGUAGCAAAUACAUUGGAAAAAAUGGGACGUAAAACAGGAGUUCUACGACCCGCCGAAGCCGGAGAUCGGUUAUCUUUAUUACGAAGAAUAGCAGAACUGGAAGGAGACUUAUCAAAGAAACAGAAACAAACUCAGCAAAAAAUUGCUCAAAUGCAAAGCGCAGUAAAACAAGAAAAAAAUAGACUAACGGAACUCAGAAAAAAUCUGGAAAAAGAGAAGUUUGGAGCAACACCGGGUGAUCCAGCCAGAAUUCGCCUUGCCAGAGACGCGGAUGCGUUGGAGGAGAUGAAAAGACAAUUAGAAAAAAGAUUGGAUAAGGAACUAUUGCGGAUGAAACAAAAAACAGGACAAAAACGUACUGCUAGGGAAAGAGAGAUUCUCGAAUCUCCAGUAAAAGAUACGACUUAUUAUCCCACUUCUAAUUUAGAAGGUGCUGUAGGUUGUACCCCUAAUUUAAGAUUCGUCCGUUCUACUCCCAGAGGUCCACAGAUGGCUUUCCACUCAACAGGUCAUUUAUGAAGAUAUUAAUUGAUAAAAGAACCCUUUUACUCAUAAUGGCUAUACUAAUCCAUAGAUGUUUAAGUAUUGAUUGCGUCAAUGCUAAUUUAUUGUGUAAUGUAACAAACUUAAUAGAUUAUUAUAUUAUCGUA